Molecule: ribosomal RNA, 409 nt
Filed under: uncultured bacterium
Lineage: Bacteria
Description: bacterial SSU rRNA
Rfam family: Bacterial small subunit ribosomal RNA
Source: RNAcentral
AACGAACGCUGGCGGCGCGCCUAAUACAUGCAAGUCGAACGAGAAGGUGUAGCAAUACACUUGUACAGUGGCGAACGGGUGAGGAAUGCAUGGGCAACCUACCCUCGAGUGGGGAACAACCAGCCGAAAGGUUGGCUAAUACCGCGUACGCUUCCGGGUCUCCGGAUCCGGAAGGAAAGUCACACCGUGGGUGUGACGCUCAAGGAUGGGCUCAUGUCCUAUCAGCUUGNGGUGAGGUAACGGCUCACCAAGGCAACGACGGGUAGCUGGUCUGAGAGGACGAUCAGCCACACUGGCACUGCGACACGGGCCAGACUCCUACGGGAGGCAGCAGUAAGGAAUAUUGCGCAAUGGGCGAAAAGCCUGACGCAGCGACGCCGCGUGGGGGAUGAAGGUCUUCGGAUUAUAA